This 237-nucleotide ribosomal RNA is filed under the name Triticum aestivum (bread wheat). RNAcentral describes it as "partial small subunit ribosomal RNA". The record is from RNAcentral. Lineage: Eukaryota; Viridiplantae; Streptophyta; Magnoliopsida; Poales; Poaceae.
AUGCAUUGGCGCAAAUGGCAGGACAUAGCUAUCCCCAAGUGUGUGGGAGGUAUGGGAUUCAGGGACUUCCAUCUUUUCAAUCAGGCAAUGCUUGCCAAGCAAGGAUGGAGGCUCAUAACUAAUCCAGAAUCAUUAUGUGCGAGAGUGCUUCGCGGGAAAUAUUUUCACGGGAAAGAGUUCAUGUCUGCAUCAAAAAGGAGAGGUUCUUCUCACACUUGGCGGGCUAUUCUGUUUGGA